CUCCUCUGGACUCACACCAUAUGCCUUAGCAUGUCUCCAGGAGAAUCCACUCCUUGAUCUUCCAAUGCACAGGGUGGGAGAGACUCUACUUCCUCCACACCUACCCAGAGGAUCAGGGACUUUAGAGAAGCAGGAAGCCUGACUGCCAGUGAAUGCUGAGGUCACCUGCCACUGCUUCCACUGCCUGUGCAUUUCUUUCUUACUCCUCAGUGUGAGGAGCAGAUCUGUGCUCAGCCAGGCCAUUUUCCAGCCUACCUUGCUCAAUUUCC
Molecule: long non-coding RNA, 269 nt
Organism: Zonotrichia leucophrys gambelii
Lineage: Eukaryota; Metazoa; Chordata; Aves; Passeriformes; Passerellidae
Exons: 3
Source: RefSeq, a predicted model, not a curated record